UACGUAGGGUGCAAGCGUUGUCCGGAUUUAUUGGGUUUAAAGGGUGCGUAGGCGGCCCUAUAAGUCAGUGGUGAAAUCCUGCAGCUCAACUGUAGAUGUGCCAUUGAUACUGUAGGGCUUGAGUACAGACGAGGUAGGCGGAAUUUAUGGUGUAGCGGUGAAAUGCAUAGAUACCAUAAAGAACACCGAUAGAGAAGUCAGCUUACUAGGCUGUAACUGACGCUGAGGCACGAAAGCGUGGGGAUCGAACAGG
This 253-nucleotide ribosomal RNA is filed under the name uncultured bacterium. RNAcentral's name for it is "partial 16S ribosomal RNA". It matches the Rfam family "Bacterial small subunit ribosomal RNA", at positions 524 to 776 of the family's 1533-position model. The record is from RNAcentral.